This 1065-nucleotide ribosomal RNA is filed under the name Cordyceps cf. cardinalis. RNAcentral describes it as "SSU rRNA". It matches the Rfam family "Eukaryotic small subunit ribosomal RNA", at positions 72 to 1148 of the family's 1831-position model. Lineage: Eukaryota; Fungi; Ascomycota; Sordariomycetes; Hypocreales; Cordycipitaceae. The record is from RNAcentral.
CAUUAUACAGCGAAACUGCGAAUGGCUCAUUAUAUAAGUUAUCGUUUAUUUGAUAGUACCUUACUACUUGGAUAACCGUGGUAAUUCUAGAGCUAAUACAUGCUAAAAAUCCCGACUUCGGAAGGGAUGUAUUUAUUAGAUUAAAAACCAAUGCCCUCUGGGCUCCUUGGUGAUUCAUAAUAACUUUUCGAAUCGCAUGGCCUUGCGCCGGCGAUGGUUCAUUCAAAUUUCUUCCCUAUCAACUUUCGAUGUUUGGGUAUUGGCCAAACAUGGUCGCAACGGGUAACGGAGGGUUAGGGCUCGACCCCGGAGAAGGAGCCUGAGAAACGGCUACUACAUCCAAGGAAGGCAGCAGGCGCGCAAAUUACCCAAUCCCGAUUCGGGGAGGUAGUGACAAUAAAUACUGAUACAGGGCUCUUUUGGGUCUUGUAAUUGGAAUGAGUACAAUUUAAAUCCCUUAACGAGGAACAAUUGGAGGGCAAGUCUGGUGCCAGCAGCCGCGGUAAUUCCAGCUCCAAUAGCGUAUAUUAAAGUUGUUGUGGUUAAAAAGCUCGUAGUUGAACCUUGGGCCUGGCUGGCCGGUCCGCCUCACCGCGUGUACUGGUCCGGCCGGGCCUUUCCCUCUGUGGAACCUCAUGCCCUUCACUGGGUGUGGCGGGGAAACAGGACUUUUACUUUGAAAAAAUUAGAGUGCUCCAGGCAGGCCUAUGCUCGAAUACAUUAGCAUGGAAUAAUGAAAUAGGACGUGUGGUUCUAUUUUGUUGGUUUCUAGGACCGCCGUAAUGAUUAAUAGGGACAGUCGGGGGCAUCAGUAUUCAAUUGUCAGAGGUGAAAUUCUUGGAUUUAUUGAAGACUAACUACUGCGAAAGCAUUUGCCAAGGAUGUUUUCAUUAAUCAGGAACGAAAGUUAGGGGAUCGAAGACGAUCAGAUACCGUCGUAGUCUUAACCAUAAACUAUGCCGACUAGGGAUCGGACGAUGUUAUUUUUUGACGCGUUCGGCACCUUACGAGAAAUCAAAGUGCUUGGGCUCCAGGGGGAGUAUGGUCGCAAGGCUGAAACUUAAA